UCACAAUCUUUUCCUCAGUUCUCAAAGUGUAGUUUGACAUCUGGGCUUAUUCAUAUUGGUCUGAUUUUUGCAGUGAUCAGAGAUAAAGAACUCAAUCAUGGGGCACGAGUAGCAACGUUUUCCAUUUCUAAUGGAGGAAUAACCAACCAAUUUUAGGGAAAUGUUGUAAAAGCAGGUAUUUCAGCACUUGUGAAAUGAUGGUGUUUUGUGCCAAGAAAUCAGCAGAGAGGGAGGAUUUCUGUUUUGUAUAAAACUGACAUGAUUUGAAAGGGUUUUUAAAAAUCUAAUGACUUUUCAGUGACUCGUUCCUCUGUAAUUGAGACAGAAGUGUAACUCAAUCAGAAGACAAUGUUGGUUGGUUUAAUGCACAGAUUAUGGUUUCAGAGAAGUAUUUAUUUCCCUACACACUGGACAUCUGGAAACAUUCCCCUGCCACAUUUUAUUAGAACAUUGAAAUCACCUCGUUAAAUGAUAUGGAGGGAUUUAGAAAGCAAGGUAAUUGUUGGGAGAUCAAUCACUGAUAAAGCUUCCCAUGCCACUUUAAUAUGUUCCCAUUUACUGCCACAGACACUCAUUCUAAUCAUUGGCUAUGCCAUUUAAAUGAUUUUCAUCACAGACUUCCAGGUUUUCUGAGCCUUCUCCUGGUGUAAUGACCCCCACAGCAUUUUCCUGUCUUUGUUGUUAAGUAAAUGAGCUGAUAAGCAAUGAAGUACAUAUGCCAAAUUACUAUUUUAGUACCCACUGCUGCUUUUCUCUCAAAGAUACAAAAGUAGAAAAGGGGCUGGACAGAAAAUCUCCCCUGCUUAUUUUCUCUCACAUCCUGAAACAGAGCUUUGUUCAUGACAAUACACCACAGACUAGAUGAAAUGGUGACUGUCCUGCUGUGACCGGGAGAUAUUUGAGGUGGAUAAGAGGGAGUACCUGGUGGGAUUUGGAGCCUGAAGAGAGAACCAAGAAAAUAUAAUGUCCAUAGGUGGGACUUACAGUCUAUGGGAAAGUUUUUUCCUACAAAACUGUAUACAAUUGAUGUACCUACAUAACUCUGUAUCCUUUAUGGUCUUUUCAUGAAGAUGUGCAUUGGAAAGAACCAUUCAUCAGAUCCCCAGAAACCUGAGGGUUGCCACACAGUGACCUCUUCUAGAAAUGAUAGACCAGCUCUUACCUGUGCAGUACAAUGUGAUCCAGCACCCUCCACACAAUUUGGGAGUUUUGCAAGCCCUCUCAUUAAUUUCCAGAGCCCUCAGGCUUACUGAUCAAGAUCCACUUCAAGACUUCCGAUUGAAUCCAGCUAAGGCAAAUGUGUAUUUAUUUCCGCAAGAUGCUUCAUGAGCGCUUCUAGCUUCACCUGGAAACAAAAUACCUUGACAGCUUCACCAGGUCUCUAAUCUCACACCUGCCCAUUCCACAACUAGAUUGUUGCCGUCCUCCUGUGUGUCCACUGUAUCCCACUUCCUCCCUGGGGAGCAUCUUAUCUGCCUUCAUCCGCCAAAAUCCAGCUCCCUGCAUGCCUGAUAGGGCAGCAGCCCCUCUGUCCAACCCCACAUUGUCAUGGUGAAACAGCUUGAAUAGCAGGUCAGUUCUCACUCAUGUGCAACUCUUUCUGCUCUGGGGAAGUUCCCAGGAUCCGGGCAGUGUCAGUCCUCCCAACUCUGAGGCUUCCUCAGCCAGGUUGUGAAGGCUGCUGACAGCAGGAGUUCACAGCAGCAGGGUAUCAUGCUGCUUACUGUGAAUUUGGUGUAACACAAGGAUUUGGGACACGAGAGCUGUAUGUGGUGAGCUGUGGUAAUCCUCUGCUUUUGUUCUCACAUUAAUUUUGCACCCUGUGGGGUUUGUUUCAAGUUUCAUAGUCACCUUCUGAAAAUAGUGAGUUUUGGCCUUCUUCCAGCAAAAGCCAAAACCUCCUUCAUACUCAGGCCCAAAGGACUGGGUUGGAGGGAGGGAAGGAGCAGAGGGAAAGGGAAUGGGUCCAGGCUGACCUCCUUUUCCAUGUGAGAGUACCAGCUGGGAACACAGACAACCUAACUGCUUCUGAAAGCUGCCUGCUGCUGUACCCCUUCCAGAAACCCCCUCUGUUCUCAGGAGGGGGAAACAGCUCCUGAGGCAGCUUUUCUCCAGACUGGGAGAAGCUGGAGGUCACGGAGUCAGGAACGACUUUGAUGCUGUCAGGCUGGAGCUGUGAAGACUUGACCUCUGACUGUAGCCCGCCCCCUGGUCUUCCCGAGAUUAAAUUAUGGAAGGGUUAUCUUGGACAUUAAUCCAUGGAAGAGAACCAAACUGGGAAUUUUUUUGAUGGCCACCCUGGAAAUCCCUGCAUCACUGAAGCUGUGGUAACAAGUGCCUUCUGGGUGGAUACACAUGAAUUUGUCAGAUUGGUUUUCCCAACAGAACUUUUUUUCAACAAAAUUGUUAUUCUCCUUCUGAAAAUGCCUGUUCUGUAAUAUGGAUAUUUUGUGUAUAUUAAACAUUCCAGGAAAAAUUCCUACCCAGCAAGCCUAUUCAAUGCCUUACUUAUUUUCCUUCUUUGUGUUUUGUUUCCCAAACAUAAAUACUUACAAUAAUUUCUAGGGCUCCCAAGUUUAAUAAAGACUAUGUUGUGAGUCUU
Molecule: long non-coding RNA, 2602 nt
Organism: Corvus hawaiiensis (hawaiian crow)
Lineage: Eukaryota; Metazoa; Chordata; Aves; Passeriformes; Corvidae
Exons: 5
Source: RefSeq, a predicted model, not a curated record